Molecule: long non-coding RNA, 1780 nt
Organism: Callithrix jacchus (white-tufted-ear marmoset)
Lineage: Eukaryota; Metazoa; Chordata; Mammalia; Primates; Cebidae
Source: Ensembl
GUAAGCAGAAUCACUAACUACAUUUAUGUCUUGAUGAGGAAACGUUUGUAAGGCCAAUAUUAGGGCACCUAACUCUGCCUAUUGGUAGUUUUGAAAUGUUCCUGGAUUUUGUGCUGCCAACUUUACAUGGCAUUUUGCCACACUACAGUCUUUCCUAGUUUCUCCUGAACCAUCUGUAAAGACAGUGGUGGCGUGAAGCAAGGGCUCAGACAAUACACACGGAUUUAACAGGCACAGUUGGUAAACAGUUCAGAGGCUUAGAGGCUGGUAAAUGGAAGCUGAUAAUACCAGUAAAGUCAGCCAUUGCUACUUGCCAAUUAAGAUCACAGCUAACACGGUAUGAAAUUGUUCCUUGUUUACUGGUCGGAAAAGAGAAGCAGGGUCAUAUCUUGAUAAUUGGUCACAACAUUGGUGCCCCUUUAUGAGAAGAGAAGCUAUUAAACCUGCAGUCUUUUGUGUUGAGAGGGGUUAUGAGAUAGGUAAAUAGCACAUAAAAUACAGAAAUGGCCAAAGGUAAAGGCUACCUGCUAAACUAGGGCAUGGAAGGGAUGGCUGUUUUAAGUGUUUUUAUUUUUAAAACCAUAUUUUGGUCCUUGGAAGUCAUUAGAAUGUGACUGCAAGUUGCCAGUAUCUUAAAUCUGCACAGAGUUAGUUAGCUUAAGUAUGGAAAAAGGAAAACCAAAAACAUUUUUAAAAUGUUUUUAGGUGCUGGCCAUUUUUAUGCAUUAGCCUUUAGCUGGAAUGUCUUAGAAGUGAGCUUGGGAAAGUAGGGCUGUGGCCGGUUUUUCUCAUCUGCUUUGGGUGCCUUAGGCAGCCUCUCUUUUUAAUAGCCUGUCACCUGUUGCUGCCCUUAACCGAGAGGAAGGAGGGAAGACUACAAGUAGCAGCAAGAGGCUAGAGAAUGACCAGUUGGUAAAGCGCGUGUGUAAAGGGAGGAGGCAGGCCGUUAUCAGGCUGGGAGAAGACCACUCCCCUCAUCCUCCAGACCACCUACGCUUGGAGCCAAUCCUGUUAGGCAUUCUAUCAAUGGACAAGAGUGAUGUUACAAUUUCCAGCUGUGACUGUAAAACACUGUGAGUUUCUGUUUCAUAUGUUUUAAAGUUCUCGUAUUAGGCACGUAAACCUCCGUAAUUGUAUUUGUUCCUGAUAAAUUGAACAUUUUAUCAUUAUGAAAUACUACUUAUUACCUCUGGAAAUAUUUUUCUUUCAAAGAAUCGGUUGCCUGUGAUAUUAACAUAGCCAUCUCAGCCUUCUUAAGGUUGCUGUAAACAUGAGUUUUUCUGUAGACUUGUUUUCAACUUGUCUCUGUCUUUGUAUUUAAAGGGAAUCAAUGAGAGAUAGCAGAUAGUCAAGUCUUUCAUGUUUUUUUAAUCCUUUCUGAUAAUCACUGACUUUUAAUUGGAGUGCUUAGUCCAUUAAUAUUUAAUGUGAUUAUUGAUACAGUUGUGAUUUAGUUCUGCCCUUUUGCUUUCCAUUUUCUGUUACUUGUUUCUAUUUUUUAGUUAUUUAUUUCCUACAUUCUACUUGAUUACUGCAGUAUUAUUAGAAUUGUUUUAAUGUUACAAUAAGCUUUCCAACUUCACCUUUUACAUUAAUUUUUAGUAGUGGUUCUAGGGAUUAUAAUAUACAUUUUUAAUUUUUCUGUGUAUUUACUGUCAAUACUGUACCAUUUCACAUUUGAUGUAGAAAAUUUCUAACCACCUUUGUGUUACAGUUACAUAUAUCACAAAUACAUAACAUUGUAACCCCCCGGAGACAUAAUAAUGUUUGUUUUAAAUCA